GUUUCCCUCCAAAAAUCUCCCUAUUUUCGCCACUCUCUUAACCCUAACCAACUGUCUCGCUCUUUUGUCAGUUGCUAUUUCUGUUCCUUUCACUUCAAUUCCGCUCAAGUCUCUGUCUAAAGUUCGCUAAUUUUCCAGAGUUUUAAUAGCUUGGAUUUUGAUUUCGUUCUGCCGAUGAAUUGAGACCAUGGGUUCUCUCGCAGACGAUGAUGCCUAUACUAAACCAAUGCAAGAUAACCUAAAUCCCAAUUUCUCAUAUACCGAUACUCAGCCCUUUGAUUCUCAGAUUUUUCCCUCUUCCUUGCCUGAUGAAAAAGGUGGCAAUGCUAACAAGGUACAAUUGGUGCAAAAUACUGUACCUUUUGAUGACUCUGUUCCAGUUGAAGAUGCAUUCGAGACCCAAAUAGUUGAUCUUGGAGGUGAAACGCAAGUAAUGGAUGAUCCUGUUUGCCUUGAACACGUGGACACUCAAUUGAUAGAUGAUUUUAGCAGUGAUGGUGAAGGAACAGAUAAAACUGAAGUUUUGGAUGAUGGUGGUGGGUUCUCUGAUGAUGAAUGCAAGCGUGAAUCAUUGGAUGGGGAGAGGAGUUGGCAUACUUCUUUGGAACACAGUGAGGACAGAUUGGUGGAGCAACCCAAUGAAAACUGUAGUUCCAGACUUGAUGUUUCUUCUGAAACUCCGACUGGUCAAGUCAGCCAAGAACCAAUGCCUGGUUCUAUUGCAAGAUUUACUUCAGUCCGUGCAGCGUCUUUGCGAGCAUCUGGUCUAGCAGCUCGCAGACUUGCUUUGGAGGGAACCAACAGUGAGUCUCAUUCUCCCCAGGCUAAUAAUGGGCAUUCAGAAGAACAUGCUAUGAAAAAUAAUGGGUCAAAUGGAGAAGCUUGGAACGAAGUUGAUCAGGUGUGUGAUACAGGAACAGGAAGAUACAACAAUGAAGUGAAGGGAUUGAUAAAUGUGCAUGACUAUAAGAUUGGCCGUUCUGCAGUGAGAAAACUCUUUGAUGAGGAUUUCUUUGUUGAAAAUGAAGAACUUGCUUCCAAUAAUGAUAAUACUGCAGGUGUAAAAGAAAUGCAUCAGUUGCCCACUUGUGAUGAUGGUCUGGCUGGGUUGAGCUAUAUCGACUCCCAAGAACCUGGAGAAUCAUCACAAGCCAAUGCAUUUGCCUGUGUGCAAAGGUUGAUUGAAGAGAACAAGUCCUUGUUCAAUGAAUUUGACCUGGGAAAGAAUAGUAAGGGAAAACCAAAUUUUGUUUCAAUCGCAAAAGGGCCACAAAUUUUGGCCAAGAAAACCAAUGAUAGAGGCAUCAACGAGAAAACAGGAAUUUUUGACUGGGAUGAUGAACAAGAAGAUGAGGGAGGGGGAGAUAUAUUCUGUAGAAGGAAGGAAGAAUUUUUUCGUAGUACAAAUCUUGGGAAAAGAUCUUUUAUAAAAACCCAAAAGGCCAAAGGAAAACAACUAGGUGGAUGCAGAGAAAAUAAAAGAAAAUUGGAUGUCCACAAUGAAAUAGUUGUUCACUCUGAUUCUAAAAUAGUGCUGCAUAAUACAAAACUGAAUAAGAAGACAACACCAGAAGCUGAAAUGAAUAUUAGAAAGAAUCUAGUUAGCAAGUUUGAUGAACAGUCUAAUAUAGCAACUUCAGCAGGGCAAUUGGAAGCUGGUCUUGCCAGGAAUAAUAUGCCAGAGGGGCUUGAUGUAGGUUUGGACACUCAAAUGGCUGCUGAAGCCAUGGAAGCCUUGUUGUGUGGGAAUGGAAUUGCUAACUCUGAUGCUAAUAAUGUGCCAGGAAAUUCAGACUCUCAAAAAGGAUCUCCAGGAAGAAAAGUUGAGAAGAGUUCACUUUCAAAGCAAUGCUCUUUUGGUAAAGACUAUGAUAUUGAGGUUGCCCCAGUACAAUCUAAGAAAACAAAGAGGAUUGGUGCUAAAUCAAAAAAACGACCUCCAAGUUCACCACAGAAGCAUUCUGCGAUUGUCAGAAAUGAUUCUGAUAUGGAUCUAUUAAAGAGUAGGAGGAAGAGGGCUAAAUCUGAUGUUGAAGUCUCAGUGACCAAUAGGAUAAAAAGGGCAGCCAAAAUGCCAUCUAAAAUGGCGGAAGGAACUAUUGAAAGCAGCCUACAUGAUGCACGUGAUGGACAUCAUGGAAUUGCUUUAACUGGAAGUGGCUCAGUUAAGAAACAGAACUUACCAGAGGAAUUUGCUAAUUUGACACCCAUUGCUCAUCGAACUAGGAAUUCCUUGGUUGCCACUCAAUUGAAAAGAGCUGAGAAUGUGUCUAGUGGUUGUGGAGAAGAAGCAAACUGUACAAUCGAGAUUAGUGCCCUCAGACGAAAUGAAGCUGGUGACAGUGUUGAUGCUGAAGGUAAAUCUUCAGAAGUGUUUUUGGGACACUCUGGGGAGCUUGAAAAUUUCAAGUCGAAAUUGGCAGCUACAAGUAAUGGCAUCAGUUUCCCAAGAAGAAGAAGAUCUUGUCGACAAAAAUCAGGUCAGCUUAAUGGACUGGUCAAUUUAGAUGCUCAGUCCAAGGCAUCUAAUCAGCCAGGAAUUGUUGGAAAGUCUGCAAAUAUGCAUAAAAGGCCACAUAGCGAUGCUAAAACCACCAGUCUUGCUGAUUUAAACACAAAGAGAAAAACACAAUCCUCCAUUUCUGUUUGUCCAGACCCAUCUUCCUUGUACCAAAAUUUCAAAGGAGAACCAUCACCGAGAAGUGUAGAUAAAUCAGGUUCAGGCAAUGCUGUUCUCAGUUCUAUUUUCAUUGAGAAUGGGAAGAAGAAUUCUGUUGAUCAAAUGGGAGUAAAGGAAAACUUACCUGACAGAAAGAAUAAUGCAUAUUUAUCACCAUCUGCGAAACAUGAAGUAAUGUCAGAUCAUUUACCAAAUGAGGCAACUGAACCAUCAACUUCAAUGUGUACUUCCCCAGCUAACUGUACAACCCCUGUGAAUUCUGCAUCACCUGUCUGUAUUGGUAAUGAAUAUUUUAAGCAAUCAUGCAAAAAGAGGCUGUCAAGAUCAUGCCUCAUGAGAGAAGUUGUUAACUUAUGUGCCACAGGGCGAGAACCUAUUUCUGCACUAAAAGAUUCAAGGAAGAGAAGAGAUUUGGCUAAUGUUAGAGUCUUGUUCAGCCACCACUUGGACGAGAAUACAAUUAAGCAGCAGAAAAAGAUUGUGGACCGGCUUAGAGUUUCCAUAGCAUCCUCUAUUACAGAUGCAACACACUUUAUUACUGAUAAGUUUGUGCGUACAAGGAAUAUGUUAGAAGCCAUUGCUUCUGGCAAACCGGUGGUGACACAUUUAUGGCUUGAGAAUGUUGGACGGGCUAACUAUUAUAUUGAUGAGCAAAAAUACAUACUCAGGGACAUGAAGAAGGAAAAGGAGCUUGGAUUUAACAUGCCAGUUUCAUUGGCACAUGCACGUCAGCAUCCACUUCUGCGGGGUCGAAGAGUUUUUAUCACGCCCAGCAUAAAGCCAGGCAAAGAUAUAAUUUCAAACUUGAUUAAAACAGUUUGUGGUCAGGCAGUGGAGAGAGUUGGCAGAUCAACUCUUAAGGAUGAUGUGGUCCCAGAGGAUCUGUUGGUUUUAUCUUGUGAGGAGGAUUAUGAAGUUUGUGUACCUUUCCUCGAAAAAGGGGCAGCUAUUUACAGUUCAGAACUGCUACUGAAUGGGAUUGUUACUCAGAAGCUGGAAUAUGAAAGGUAAGCUCCAUUAUUAUUAGGAUUAUUACUUCCAUGAUGGGUACUGGAAUUAAAUGUUUUGCUCGCUGGUAGGCAGUCGUCAUCAGCACAUCCAUACUGUCAAAAUUGGAUGUUUAUAAUUGGCCUAACUAGUAAUUGUGUGUUUGUUUCUUGUGCUGAAGAAUGCCUUAAUUGGUCGGUUUUAAUGGCUACUUUUAAGCCUUGGCUUUAAUUGGGGCUUAAUCGAUAGCUGUGGAUGACAUGGAUCCUGCACCAGAGGGCUGAUUAAAGCGUGCAUGUUUGUGAUACAUAAUAAAUCUGCUGUUUGGUUUUUCUAACAGACUAUUACCUGAUGACAGGUAUCAGCUCUUUGCAGAUCAUGUGAAGAGAACUCGUUCUACAAUAUGGAUGAAAAAAGGAGGCGAUAGUUUCAUUCCUGUCACAAAGCAUAAAUAGCGCUUUUUUUUUUUUCCUUGGUAGGAAGGGGGGGUUUUCUUUCUUUUCCUUCCCUUUUUUUCCUCCAUCCACUUGCAUUUUGGUGUUGUGUUAUAUUAUGUAUAUAAAGCGGUCUGUUUUCUUGUAUAUAUAAGUUUCAAGCUGCAUAACGUAACACUUGAAAUGGAGAGUUUCUUUCUCUUUUCCCAUCUCUGUUUUAAUGUAAUUCAUAUCA
This 4336-nucleotide unclassified non-coding RNA is filed under the name Hevea brasiliensis (rubber tree). Lineage: Eukaryota; Viridiplantae; Streptophyta; Magnoliopsida; Malpighiales; Euphorbiaceae. The record is from RNAcentral.